GACAAUCUGUCCGAGUGGUUAAGGAGUCAGACUCGAAUCUGAUGGGUUUCGCCCGCACAGGUUCGAAUCCUGUGGUUGUCG
This 81-nucleotide transfer RNA is filed under the name Sphaerosporella brunnea. It matches the Rfam family "tRNA". From Rfam's summary of the family: Transfer RNA (tRNA) molecules are approximately 80 nucleotides in length. Their secondary structure includes four short double-helical elements and three loops (D, anti-codon, and T loops). The record is from Rfam by way of RNAcentral. Lineage: Eukaryota; Fungi; Ascomycota; Pezizomycetes; Pezizales; Pyronemataceae.